This 1640-nucleotide ribosomal RNA is filed under the name Salmonella enterica subsp. enterica serovar Isangi. RNAcentral's name for it is "partial 23S ribosomal RNA". It matches the Rfam family "Bacterial large subunit ribosomal RNA", at positions 1178 to 2803 of the family's 2925-position model. The record is from RNAcentral. Lineage: Bacteria; Pseudomonadati; Pseudomonadota; Gammaproteobacteria; Enterobacterales; Enterobacteriaceae.
GGGCUAAACCAUGCACCGAAGCUGCGGCAGCGACACUGUGUGUUGUUGGGUAGGGGAGCGUUCUGUAAGCCUGUGAAGGUGUGUCGUGAGGCAUGCUGGAGGUAUCAGAAGUGCGAAUGCUGACAUAAGUAACGAUAAAGCGGGUGAAAAGCCCGCUCGCCGGAAGACCAAGGGUUCCUGUCCAACGUUAAUCGGGGCAGGGUGAGUCGACCCCUAAGGCGAGGCCGAAAGGCGUAGUCGAUGGGAAACAGGUUAAUAUUCCUGUACUUGGUGUUACUGCGAAGGGGGGACGGAGAAGGCUAUGUUGGCCGGGCGACGGUUGUCCCGGUUUAAGCGUGUAGGCUGGUUUUCCAGGCAAAUCCGGAAAAUCAAGGCUGAGGCGUGAUGACGAGGCACUACGGUGCUGAAGCAACAAAUGCCCUGCUUCCAGGAAAAGCCUCUAAGCAUCAGGUAACAUCAAAUCGUACCCCAAACCGACACAGGUGGUCAGGUAGAGAAUACCAAGGCGCUUGAGAGAACUCGGGUGAAGGAACUAGGCAAAAUGGUGCCGUAACUUCGGGAGAAGGCACGCUGACACGUAGGUGAAGUGAUUUACUCACGGAGCUGAAGUCAGUCGAAGAUACCAGCUGGCUGCAACUGUUUAUUAAAAACACAGCACUGUGCAAACACGAAAGUGGACGUAUACGGUGUGACGCCUGCCCGGUGCCGGAAGGUUAAUUGAUGGGGUCAGCGCAAGCGAAGCUCCUGAUCGAAGCCCCGGUAAACGGCGGCCGUAACUAUAACGGUCCUAAGGUAGCGAAAUUCCUUGUCGGGUAAGUUCCGACCUGCACGAAUGGCGUAAUGAUGGCCAGGCUGUCUCCACCCGAGACUCAGUGAAAUUGAACUCGCUGUGAAGAUGCAGUGUACCCGCGGCAAGACGGAAAGACCCCGUGAACCUUUACUAUAGCUUGACACUGAACAUUGAGCCUUGAUGUGUAGGAUAGGUGGGAGGCUUUGAAGCGUGGACGCCAGUCUGCGUGGAGCCGACCUUGAAAUACCACCCUUUAAUGUUUGAUGUUCUAACGUGGACCCGUAAUCCGGGUUGCGGACAGUGUCUGGUGGGUAGUUUGACUGGGGCGGUCUCCUCCUAAAGAGUAACGGAGGAGCACGAAGGUUGGCUAAUCCUGGUCGGACAUCAGGAGGUUAGUGCAAUGGCAUAAGCCAGCUUGACUGCGAGCGUGACGGCGCGAGCAGGUGCGAAAGCAGGUCAUAGUGAUCCGGUGGUUCUGAAUGGAAGGGCCAUCGCUCAACGGAUAAAAGGUACUCCGGGGAUAACAGGCUGAUACCGCCCAAGAGUUCAUAUCGACGGCGGUGUUUGGCACCUCGAUGUCGGCUCAUCACAUCCUGGGGCUGAAGUAGGUCCCAAGGGUAUGGCUGUUCGCCAUUUAAAGUGGUACGCGAGCUGGGUUUAGAACGUCGUGAGACAGUUCGGUCCCUAUCUGCCGUGGGCGCUGGAGAACUGAGGGGGGCUGCUCCUAGUACGAGAGGACCGGAGUGGACGCAUCACUGGUGUUCGGGUUGUCAUGCCAAUGGCACUGCCCGGUAGCUAAAUGCGGAAGAGAUAAGUGCUGAAAGCAUCUAAGCACGAAACUUGCCCCGAG